Molecule: ribosomal RNA, 253 nt
Filed under: uncultured bacterium
Lineage: Bacteria
Description: partial 16S ribosomal RNA
Rfam family: Bacterial small subunit ribosomal RNA
Source: RNAcentral
UACGUAGGGUGCGAGCGUUAAUCGGAAUUACUGGGCGUAAAGCGUGCGCAGGCGGUUUUGUAAGCCAGAUGUGAAAUCCCCGGGCUUAACCUGGGAAUGGCAUUUGGGACUGCAAGGCUUGAGUUUGGCAGAGGAGACUGGAAUUCCUGGUGUAGCAGUGAAAUGCGUAGAUAUCGGGAGGAAUACCAGUGGCGAAGGCGGCUUCCUGGCCUGUUCUUGACGCUGAGGCGCGAAAGCUAGGGUAGCAAACGGG